ACGCUCGACACCUACGGGAGGCAGCAGUUAGGAAUAUUGGGCAAUGGAGGGAACUCUGACCCAGCAACGCCGCGUGAAGGAAGAAGGUUUUCGGAUUGUAAACUUCUGAUCUAAGGGAAGAAGAAAGUGACGGUACCUUAGGAGAAAGCCACGGCUAACUACGUGCCACAGCCGCGGUAAUCUGAGCGGGCUGGCAAGGC
This 200-nucleotide ribosomal RNA is filed under the name uncultured bacterium. Its description in RNAcentral is "partial 16S ribosomal RNA". It matches the Rfam family "Bacterial small subunit ribosomal RNA", at positions 328 to 539 of the family's 1533-position model. The record is from RNAcentral.